This 1168-nucleotide ribosomal RNA is filed under the name uncultured marine eukaryote. Its description in RNAcentral is "bacterial SSU rRNA". It matches the Rfam family "Eukaryotic small subunit ribosomal RNA", at positions 174 to 994 of the family's 1831-position model. The record is from RNAcentral.
AAUAAAACGCUAGUUUGUGUUUUGAGUGGCAGCAACACCAUCAAAUUGUUCCGGAAGUCCGUUAGAGCUCAUGAGACCGCGGCGACCAGUAAUGGAUUCGUGCAGCAGCAGGUGUAAUGGCCUGUGGAUGGUAAAACUUCAUGAGAUUCGGUAACCGGCAGCCAAGUGACAAGAAAAAACAUAUUUUUUUUUCUUGCCAUGCAGUUCACAGACUAAAUGUUGGUGGGCGUUCUAUUCUUUUCUUUCUGAAAAAAUAGUUCGCUUAAGAUAUAGUCGGCCCACUAGUGAAAGCUAGUCCUUUGAGAGGAUUCGGAAAACUUGAACUCAAAACGAACACACCAAGUUUCUGAGGAGAGCUCAAAGGGGUCUUGCGAUAUUGGUAACUAACCAAUUGUUGCGAGGCUGGAUUCAGCGGAGAAAUGGCUACCACUUCUACGGAGGGCAGCAGGCGCGCAAAUUGCCCAAUGCCAAAACAAAUGAUGAGGCAGCGAAAAGAAAUAGGUGUCCCAAACGCCUCGUGCGUUUGGGACUUUCAAUGGGGGAUAUUCAAAACCAUCCAACAUCGAGUAACAUUGGAGGACAAGUCUGGUGCCAGCACCCGCGGUAAUUCCAGCUCCAAGAGCGUAUAUUAACGCUGUUGCUGUUAAAGGGUUCGUAGUUGAAUUGUGGAGUAUGGCCACGGGAUUCAGUCCUUUUCCCACGGUCUAGGAACGUCCCGACCAUACUUCGAGAACGUCAGAAACUAAGAUCACGGAAGCGUUUUUUACAAACUGCCACCGACUACGCGAGCAAUGUUCGCUGGUGGACGUCCGUGUUUCUUACUGUGACUAAAGAAGUGCGACCAAGGCAGUCCAUCGACAUGAAUUAGAAAGCAUGGGAUAACAAAGCAGCAGCCUAUGAGCUACCGCUUAGGCUUUUGUUGGUUUUAAAGGUUCGUGGGAGAUUACGGGCGUGUAGGACCGGCGUUGGGGGUUUUCCAAAAUCCCCGCGUCUCCUCCUGGCAUCGGAAACGGUGCUUGCGGGGCCUGCUUCGCUCAGGAAUGAAGGAGGGUUGCUCGGGGGAAAACGUACUUGGGCGUGAGAGGUGAAAUUCUUAGACCGCCCAAAGACGAACUACAGCGAAGGCAUUUUCCAAGGAUACCUUCCUCAAUCAAGAACCAAAGUGUGG